ACAUCGGUAGCACAGUGGUUAGUGCAGUCUGCCGGAAAGCAGAAAGACNCAGAAAGACGCGGGUUCAAUUCCCGUCCGAUGUC
Molecule: transfer RNA, 83 nt
Filed under: Nippostrongylus brasiliensis
Lineage: Eukaryota; Metazoa; Nematoda; Chromadorea; Rhabditida; Heligmosomidae
Rfam family: tRNA
About the family: Transfer RNA (tRNA) molecules are approximately 80 nucleotides in length. Their secondary structure includes four short double-helical elements and three loops (D, anti-codon, and T loops).
Source: Rfam by way of RNAcentral